UAAAAAUUAGUUAAAUUAAAAUAACGUAAACUUGUCAAGUUUAAAUCAUCUUUAAAAGAUAUUUUUAA
This 68-nucleotide transfer RNA is filed under the name Munidopsis verrilli. Its description in RNAcentral is "tRNA-Asp". The record is from RNAcentral. Lineage: Eukaryota; Metazoa; Arthropoda; Malacostraca; Decapoda; Munidopsidae.